UGUAGGGUGGUGUUGAGGCACGUAGGGUUUUGGUUCCUAAGGGAUUAGCUCGACCUAUUUCCUACAU
Molecule: transfer RNA, 67 nt
Filed under: Scrobicularia plana
Lineage: Eukaryota; Metazoa; Mollusca; Bivalvia; Cardiida; Scrobiculariidae
Description: tRNA-Gln
Source: RNAcentral